Long non-coding RNA from Nomascus leucogenys (northern white-cheeked gibbon), 653 nucleotides. RefSeq lists it as uncharacterized. The record is from RefSeq and is a predicted model, not a curated record. NCBI's taxonomy places the organism in Eukaryota, Metazoa, Chordata, Mammalia, Primates, Hylobatidae. The transcript is spliced from 3 exons.
CAUAUCCUGUGGACAGCUUAUAGUGGGACCCCAGGGCAGAUAUUGAAGUUUGAUGUAACUUGUGAAUGGCUUAGAAAGUGGUAAUUUCUUGGGAUCAGAACGCUGAUUAAGGCAAGGCUGGGAGGAGUCAUCUUUCUCUUCCACAGUGUCCACUGGGGCAGUUCAACCCUGUCUGCGGGACCCAUCUCCAAGACGUGAGUUGGCACAGCCAUCAGUUCGUCUCCAUAGAUGUCUCCACGGGCAACCUGAGCUCCCACGUGGCAUGGUGAUGGUUCCGAAAGAAGACAAGAGAGACACAGCCACAGAGGACGAGGCCAUAUGAGAUGGAGGCAGAGACUGGAGAGAUGCAGCCACAAGCACAAGCCAAGGAUGCGCGGGGCCACCAGGAGCUGGGGGAGGGGCCCCAUCAAUGAACAAAUGCAGACAACUCUUCCUGGAGUUUUGCAUUAAAGACAAGAAGCUGGGGGCACAGCGAGGGGGACAUGAGGUCAAGGGGCUGCUGCUUUGUUAGGUAGGGGAGAUUGAGCAUGUUUGAAUCCUGAUGGGAAUGGACAAGCAGCAGGAGCAUCUGAUGGCACAGCAACCAGGGGGCCACCCCUUAAGGACAGGUGGGCCGGCUUGCCUUGGAGCAUGGGUGCUUGCUCACAGGCUGG